This 523-nucleotide ribosomal RNA is filed under the name uncultured bacterium. RNAcentral's name for it is "bacterial SSU rRNA". It matches the Rfam family "Bacterial small subunit ribosomal RNA", at positions 355 to 896 of the family's 1533-position model. The record is from RNAcentral.
UGGGGAAUAUUGGACAAUGGACCAAAAGUCUGAUCCAGCGAUUCUGUGUGCACGAUGACGUUUUUCGGAAUGUAAAGUGCUUUCAGUUGGGAAGAAAAAAAUGACGGUACCAACAGAAGAAGUGACGGCUAAAUACGUGCCAGCAGCCGCGGUAAUACGUAUGUCACAAGCGUUAUCCGGAUUUAUUGGGCGUAAAGCGCGUCUAGGUGGUUAUGUAAGUCUGAUGUGAAAAUGCAGGGCUCAACUCUGUAUUGCGUUGGAAACUGCAUGACUAGAGUACUGGAGAGGUAAGCGGAACUACAAGUGUAGAGGUGAAAUUCGUAGAUAUUUGUAGGAAUGCCGAUGGGGAAGCCAGCUUACUGGACAGAUACUGACGCUAAAGCGCGAAAGCGUGGGUAGCAAACAGGAUUAGAUACCCUGGUAGUCCACGCCGUAACGAUGAUUACUAGGUGUUGGGGGUCGAACCUCAGCGCCCAAGCUAACGCGAUAAGUAGUCCGCCUGGGGAGUACGUACGCAAGUAUG